ACGAACGCUGGCGGCGUGCUUAACACAUGCAAGUCGAGCGGAAAGGCCACUUCGGUGGUACUCGAGCGGCGAACGGGUGAGUAACACGUGAGUAAUCUGCCCCUGGCUUUGGGAUAGCCACCGGAAACGGUGAUUAAUACCGGAUACGACAACUUCUUGCAUGAGAUGGUUGUGGAAAGUUUUUCGGCCAGGGAUGUGCUCGCGGCCUAUCAGCUUGAUGGUGAGGUAAUGGCUCACCAUGGCUUCGACGGGUAGCCGGCCUGAGAGGGUGACCGGCCACACUGGGACUGAGACACGGCCCAGACUCCUACGGGAGGCAGCAGUGGGGAAUAUUGGACAAUGGGCGGAAGCCUGAUCCAGCAACGCCGCGUGAGGGAUGACGGCCUUCGGGUUGUAAACCUCUUUCAGCAGGGACGAAGCGCAAGUGACGGUACCUGCAGAAGAAGCACCGGCCAACUACGU
This 462-nucleotide ribosomal RNA is filed under the name uncultured bacterium. RNAcentral describes it as "bacterial SSU rRNA". It matches the Rfam family "Bacterial small subunit ribosomal RNA", at positions 29 to 506 of the family's 1533-position model. The record is from RNAcentral.